Molecule: long non-coding RNA, 208 nt
Filed under: Solanum tuberosum (potato)
Lineage: Eukaryota; Viridiplantae; Streptophyta; Magnoliopsida; Solanales; Solanaceae
Description: long non-coding RNA (STUB_LNC008220)
Source: RNAcentral
AUCAGAGGCGUAUCCAGGAUCUCAAGAACAUGGGGGCACCAUUAUUUUCAAAAUAGACAAUUAAUUCAAUUAUAUAGAUUUUACGGUGAGAACAAGUUGACGAGCAAGUAGGUAGUAGCAAUCUUUAUAUAGUAAUAUAUUAGCAAAAAACAUCAUUCACUUACAAUUGUCCUCGACGAGUUUUCAUAUUUUGAAAACGGCCAAUAAU